This 65-nucleotide microRNA precursor is filed under the name Gorilla gorilla gorilla (western lowland gorilla). RNAcentral's name for it is "miRNA (ENSGGOG00000040880.1)". The record is from RNAcentral. Lineage: Eukaryota; Metazoa; Chordata; Mammalia; Primates; Hominidae.
UGGUACAAAAGUAAUUGCGGUUUUUGCCAUUAAAAGGAAUGGCAAAACCCGCAAUUACUUUUGCA